Molecule: non-coding RNA, 1835 nt
Organism: Macaca mulatta (Rhesus monkey)
Lineage: Eukaryota; Metazoa; Chordata; Mammalia; Primates; Cercopithecidae
Source: RefSeq, a predicted model, not a curated record
GUGAGAAGGAAAAGCGCUGGCUGCAUGGAGAAAAGGGAAAAGCAAGACGGAUCAGGUUGGUGUUUUUCUUCCAACCUGUUCUUGCUCGCUUCUCGGCUCUACCCAGGCUGUCUCCCACUUUUUAAGCCCUCCCUUCUCCGCCCCUCUCUCCUUUUCCAUCCUCUUCGCACUUUUCAAUGCACCAGGUUUUAACAGCCUUGCAGGGAGUGGCUGAAUUGUAACGACUCUGUGAAGUAGGCACAUUUUGCAGAUGAGGAAACUGAGGCACACACGAUCCCGGGGGACACUGGGUGUGGAACCAGGCCUCCAGAGCGCGCUGUCUCCACCACUAAGCUACAAGUUGCUGAUGUCACUAGCAAGGACUUCCCUGUAACCUGCGCUGUCACCCUGUCAUAAACACAUCUAUGUUUCCAUCUCAACGGCCUCAUUUAGAGAGAGCAACGAGUUCACACGCCAGUCACAUGGAGAAGACGUGGAAGAGACAGUUUAGUUUAUCAAAGCGUUUUCCACCAGCAAAGGCUGUCCCAGGUGGACGUUCUCUUGCUUCAGUAAAGGCGCAGGUUCAAUGAGCGCUCCCACCUCCACCGGCUCCUCUUUCCCCUCAAGGAACUGAGGAAGAAUCUUUACCUCUGAGAAGGCGGUUGAAAAACCAAGCUGUGACAAACAUGGAUGAAACACGGCAAACAUGGAUGAAAGCUGUGACAAACAUGGAUGACAAAUGAUCUCCUUGGUAUUCUGGAAAAUACCGGAAAUAAUAUGCUACAUACCUGGGAAUAAUGUAAUAAUUCCAAAACAACAAGGCAGGAAACAAAAUCUGGAAAGUUCAGGAAGAUUUGUUAAGAUUUUGGAGCAUGAGUCAGAAAACUGUGUUGAAUGUGUUGGAGCAGGGGGAGGGGGACGUUUCAACUUCAUUACAGAUUAAAGAAAUGAAACAGCCAAGAGAUAUCAGAUUUCACCUAUGAAGCAGGGAGUGGAGUAAUUGAUGAGAGCAGCCUCUGACUCAAAGGCAGGACAGUCCUCCAAGGAGGUGAGAAUACUCAUCCGGCGACAUGACUUUCAUCAUGGAAUGUGAAUCUUGCCACAUGGGUGUCAGGUACCCAUGCAAAAGCAUGUCCUUCAGUCAACAACAGAGAGUCCACGGGUCUUAGGUUCACACCGGGGAAUUUAACUGAAAAGUGUUGUUAUGCAGUGCUUGGCCAAUGCCUAUCCGAGAGAAGGGAUAUUCACAGAAGACAGUCCACGCGGUUUGCUGGCCACUUGCUCCUGCAGGUGUGCUUAGCAUACUUUAACCGCACAGCGGUGAGAUCAUUAGCUCUGCGCAAACCUCAUUCAACGAGCACUCCACAGAAAUGCCUUUCCUGAGUUAUGCUUUCAUGUUUUACCCUUGACUUCCUUCUGGGUUUGAAAUGAAGAGAUCAUAUGAAAAAUACCGUUUCUAUAAAUCGCUUGCUGCAGAGGUUUUGAAUGUUGUACACUGUCUCUGUGUGUUGACCCUCCUGAUGAAAUCCCCCCAGAGCUGUGAUGUUUAAACUGAGCUCCUGGAAACUGCUGAGGGGGCUGAGGGACCAAGCUCCUUUUCCAUCGGAGGACUCUACUUUUACUUGUUCUAUCACAGAUGCCAAAUACAUGACAACCACAGAGCUGCUUAGGAAAGACAAUCUGAUACCACCUUGAUCAGAGCUAGUUUGGGAUGCUUUAAAAGAGGGAAAAGAAAUUCAACACAGAUUUAAGUCUCUGCUUCCGGAGGUAUGACCUCACAAUUGGAAGAUUCUAAAUGUCACUGGAACAAGCCAGAGAUCAGUUUUUUAAAAGAAACAAUAAAAUGGCCAAGCACA